RNAcentral lists this ribosomal RNA (496 nucleotides) under uncultured bacterium. Its description in RNAcentral is "partial 16S ribosomal RNA". It matches the Rfam family "Bacterial small subunit ribosomal RNA", at positions 28 to 506 of the family's 1533-position model. The record is from RNAcentral.
GAUGAACGCUGGCGGCGUGCCUAAUACAUGCAAGUCGAGCGAACAGACGAGGAGCUUUCUCCUCUGACGUUAGCGGCUGACGGGCGAGUAACACGUGGAUAACCUACCUAUAAUACUGGGAUAACUUCGGGAAACCGGAGCUAAUACCGGAUAAUAUAUUCAACCGCAUGGUUCAAUAGUGAAAGACGGUUUUGCUGUCACUUAUAGAUGGAUCCGCGCCGCAUUAGCUAGUUGGUAAGGUAACGGCUUACCAAGGCAACGAUGCGUAGCCGACCUGAGAGGGUGAUCAGCCACACUGGAACUGAGACACGGUCCAGACUCCUACGGGAGGCAGCAGUAGGGAAUCUUCCGCAAUGGGCGAAAGCCUGACGGAGCAACGCCGCGUGGGUGAAGAAGGUCUUCGGAUCGUAAAACUCUGUUAUUAGGAAAGAACAAAUGUGUAAGUAACUAUGCACGUCUUGACGGUACCUAAUCAGAAAGCCACGGCUAACUACGU